UCCGGUUUGUCACCGGCAGUCUCCUUAGAGUUCCCGACAUUACUCGCUGGCAACUAAGGACAAGGGUUGCGCUCGUUGCGGGACUUAACCCAACAUCUCACGACACGAGCUGACGACAGCCAUGCAGCACCUGUGUUCCGAUUCCCGAAGGCACCCGCCCAUCUCUGGGCAGUUCCGGACAUGUCAAGGCCAGGUAAGGUUCUGCGCGUUGCAUCGAAUUAAACCACAUACUCCACCGCUUGUGCGGGCCCCCGUCAAUUCCUUUGAGUUUCAGUCUUGCGACCGUACUCCCCAGGCGGCGAACUUAACGCGUUAGCUUCGACACUGAGUGGCUAGAUCCACCCAACGUCCAGUUCGCAUCGUUUAGGGCGUGGACUAC
Molecule: unclassified non-coding RNA, 379 nt
Filed under: uncultured Rhodanobacteraceae bacterium
Lineage: Bacteria; Pseudomonadati; Pseudomonadota; Gammaproteobacteria; Lysobacterales; Rhodanobacteraceae
Description: contains 16S-23S intergenic spacer region
Source: RNAcentral